ACAGGGUUUACCACAGCCGCUGACACAUACUGCACACUUUUUGAAACAAGCGGCAUACUCACUUUCGAAGCCACCGCGAUGUGUCAACACACCGCGGCUUCGAAGUGAGUAUGCCGCUUGUUUCAAAAAGUGUGCAGUAUGUGUCAGCGGCUGUGGUAAACCCUGUAAGCAGGAAA
Molecule: microRNA precursor, 176 nt
Filed under: Anopheles dirus
Lineage: Eukaryota; Metazoa; Arthropoda; Insecta; Diptera; Culicidae
Description: microRNA mir-210
Source: RNAcentral